This is a long non-coding RNA of Rosa chinensis, 1029 nucleotides long. RefSeq lists it as uncharacterized. The transcript is spliced from 2 exons. Lineage: Eukaryota; Viridiplantae; Streptophyta; Magnoliopsida; Rosales; Rosaceae. The record is from RefSeq and is a predicted model, not a curated record.
CCUACCUCUCUCUCUAUCCAGCCACACAAAGUCACAAACACAACCAAACUUUAUCCUCCUCUUUUUUCUGCGUUCUGUGAGUCUCUAACCUCUGUCUCUCCUCUCUUCUCCUCAAUUCUCAUCGAUCAGUCGACCUCAGUACCUCUCUAUCCAGCCACUCAGAUUACAAAGGUCUAGGUCAGUAGGCCAUCAAGCAAUUUUGUGGGAUUCUGGAAUUGAGAAAUUGGAGAAGUCGAGCAGUGAACAAACUCAGAGUCACAGACUAUGAUUUGAGUUCAAGGAAUCAGGUUCCCUCCUUCACAUUGAUUUGCUAAUUUUGCUUGAAUUGUCUGGGGAUGUUGCUUGAAUUGAUUUGCUAAAAUUUAGAAGCAUGCCUCCUAAAAGAAAAUGUUUAUCUGGACAUGCAAAACGCUUAAAGAAGAAAAAAAUGCAGAGUUGGUUAAUUCUUUAAGGGGAAGUCUUGAUAGGUUCAUUAGUAGAGAAUCAGAAGGUUUGGGUGGGCAUUUAGUUAAUGAAGUGGCAGAAGAGCACACUGAUAGGGAAGAUAAUGUGGAAGAGCACACUGAUGGCAAUGUAGUUGUCGAUAAUUUGGGUCAUGAUUGAAUUUCUUACAGGAAAGGAAUACUUGCCCAAUUGUUAGACUUGCAUAUCGAAUAUUGUUAACUGUGCCUGUUACUGUUGCUUCAGCUGAGAGGAGUUUUUCCAAGUUAAAGUUAUUGAAGUCUUAUUUGCGAUCAACUAUGUCACAAGAAAGGCUAAAUGGACUUGCUUUGAUUUCUAUUGAGAACGAAUAUCUUGGAAAAAUCAAUUGUGAUAAGCUAAUUGAUCAGUUUGCAGGUAAGAAGGCAAGGAGAUGGAUUUUCAAAUGAAUAUCAAUCAACACUGCUAGAAUGUGUUAUUUUGAGGGUUUCAGAUCAAAGCAUCUUUUUGUAAUUAUUUUUUGCUGCAAACUUUAUGUUUGUAUUGAAUAUUUAGCCUCUUUUGUGGGCUCAUCUAAUGAUAUAUAUUGAUCAUGGUUAUUUGAUUUUA